AAUGAACGCUAGCGGCAGGCCUAACACAUGCCAGUCGAGCGCAUGCAGUGAGCUUGCUCCUGGCUUCAGCGUCGGACGGGUGUGUAAUGCCUAGGAAUCUGUCUGGUAUAAGGGGAUAACGUCUUGAAACGGGAGCUGUUACCGCAUACGUCCUGAGGGAGAAAGUUAGGGGUCGUCGGACGACGUGCUCGCGGAUGAGCCUAGAUCGGAUGAGCUAAUUGGUGGGGUAAAGGCCUACCAAGGCGCUGAUCCGUAACUAGUCUGAGAGGAUGAUCAGUCACACUGGAACUGAGACACGGUCCAGACUCGUAAGGGAGGCAGCAGUGGGGAAUAUUGGACAAGGGGCGAAAGGCUAAUCCAGCCAUGGCGCGUGUGUGAAGAAGGUCUUCGGAUUGUAAAGCACGAUAAGUUGGGAGGAAGGAAAGUAAGUUAAUACCUUGAUGUUUUGACGUUACCAAAAGAAUAAGCACCGGCUAACUUCGUG
RNAcentral lists this ribosomal RNA (484 nucleotides) under uncultured bacterium. RNAcentral describes it as "partial 16S ribosomal RNA". It matches the Rfam family "Bacterial small subunit ribosomal RNA", at positions 29 to 507 of the family's 1533-position model. The record is from RNAcentral.